Molecule: long non-coding RNA, 629 nt
Organism: Cryptotermes secundus
Lineage: Eukaryota; Metazoa; Arthropoda; Insecta; Blattodea; Kalotermitidae
Exons: 5
Source: RefSeq, a predicted model, not a curated record
ACCCUUGUGACGGCUUGUGACCGCUUGUGACUGGGCAAAACAGUAAUCGCUGCAAACAACGAACUCAGCAGCUCAGCAGGCCAGGCCAAUAAGAUACCGUGGUAUCGGUGGAUACAUAGUAAUAUACAAGAAAUAGGAAUAAUUAAGAUCUCUGCUGUUAAUAAUAAAAAGAAUAAGAUCAGGGAGCAUAAAAUAAUAGUUUGAAGGAGUUUGAUGGCAUCGCAGUGGAGCAUUGCAGUUCAUGAUGAUGAUGAUGAUGAUGAAUUUAGCCAGCUGGAACAAGGAGGUCCUGUCUGGACACAGUUUUGGCAUAAACAAGAACAGUUAUGAAGAGUUAAUUGUGGACAUGAUCAAGAGAGGUCUUGUUUUGAAUCACAGCAAAUCACCAUGUGAGGAGAACUUCAUAUCAGAUAGAAAGGGUGAAAUCAUAAUGUUCAUAAAAAUGGAAGGACCAAAAACUUUGUAACGUGGCUGCAAGUAGCCAAGGCCUGCGACUCACCAGCACAAGACUUCAAGUGACUCGUCUGCCCUAAGAGGAAGGAGUUGUUGCUGUCCUAUCAUCCAUGCAUGGCUCUUUCAGAUAGCCUUUUCUCUUGUGGCUAUGCCACCAGAAUCUCAGCAUGUUAAGA